This 601-nucleotide ribosomal RNA is filed under the name uncultured bacterium. RNAcentral's name for it is "bacterial SSU rRNA". It matches the Rfam family "Bacterial small subunit ribosomal RNA", at positions 248 to 863 of the family's 1533-position model. The record is from RNAcentral.
GUUGGUGGGGUAAUGGCUCACCAAGCCAAUGAUCGGUAGCCGACCUGAGAGGGUGAUCGGCCACACUGGAACUGAGAGACGGUCCAGACUCCUACGGGAGGCAGCAGUGGGGAAUAUUGGGCAAUGGGGGAAACCCUGACCCAGCAACGCCGCGUGAGGGAAGAAGGUUUUCGGAUUGUAAACCUCUGUCCUUGGUGAAGAGCAGAAGACGGUAGCCAAGGAGGAAGCCCCGGCUAACUACGUGCCAGCAGCCGCGGUAAUACGUAGGGGGCGAGCGUUGUCCGGAAUGAUUGGGCGUAAAGGGCGCGUAGGCGGCUUGUUAAGUCUGGAGUGGAAGUCCUCUUUUCAAGGGAGGAAUUGCUUUGGAAACUGGCGGGCUUGAGUGCAGGAGAGGUUAUCGGAAUUCCCGGUGUAGCGGUGAAAUGCGUAGAGAUCGGGAGGAACACCAGUGGCGAAGGCGGGUAACUGGACUGCAACUGACGCUGAGGCGCGAAAGUGUGGGGAGCAAACAGGAUUAGAUACCCUGGUAGUCCACACUGUAAACGAUGAGUGCUAGGUGUAGGAGGUAUCGACCCCUUCUGUGCCGGAGUAAACGCAAUAA